RNAcentral lists this ribosomal RNA (434 nucleotides) under uncultured bacterium. RNAcentral describes it as "bacterial SSU rRNA". It matches the Rfam family "Bacterial small subunit ribosomal RNA", at positions 29 to 508 of the family's 1533-position model. The record is from RNAcentral.
AACGAACGCUGGCGGCAUGCCUAACACAUGCAAGUCGAACGAGACCUUCGGGUCUAGUGGCGCACGGGUGCGUAACGCGUGGGAAUCUGCCCUUGGGUUCGGAAUAACAGUGAGAAAUUACUGCUAAUACCGGAUGAUGUCUUCGGACCAAAGAUUUAUCGCCCAGGGAUGAGCCCGCGUAGGAUUAGGUAGUUGGUGGGGUAAUGGCCUACCAAGCCGACGAUCCUUAGCUGGUCUGAGAGGAUGAUCAGCCACACUGGGACUGAGACACGGCCCAGACUCCUACGGGAGGCAGCAGUGGGGAAUAUUGGACAAUGGGCGAAAGCCUGAUCCAGCAAUGCCGCGUGAGUGAUGAAGGCCUUAGGGUUGUAAAGCUCUUUUACCAGGGAUGAUAAUGACAGUACCUGGAGAAUAAGCUCCGGCUAACUCCGUGC